UACGGAGGGGGCAAGCGUUAUUCGGAAUCACUGGGCGUAAAGGGCGCGUAGGCGGCCGAUCAAGUCGGGGGUGAAAGCCUGUGGCUCAACCACAGAAUUGCCUUCGAUACUGUUUGGCUUGAGACCGGAAGAGGUAAGUGGAACUGCGAGUGUAGAGGUGAAAUUCGUAGAUAUUCGCAAGAACACCAGUGGCGAAGGCGGCUUACUGGUCCGGUUCUGACGCUGAGGCGCGAAAGCGUGGGGAGCAAACAGG
Molecule: ribosomal RNA, 253 nt
Filed under: uncultured bacterium
Lineage: Bacteria
Description: partial 16S ribosomal RNA
Rfam family: Bacterial small subunit ribosomal RNA
Source: RNAcentral